AAAUUAAUAGAGAGAGAAGAUGUUUCAGAUGAUCUGCAGGAGGAUGAUGGUCAAUGGCAGUCAAGGAAGACUCCUAGAGGCAAGCCGGCCAAAUUUAUUGAGAGUGAGGAUGGAUCAGAUGAUCUGCAGGACGUUACUCAUUGGCAGUCACGGAAGACCUCUCGACGCAGGCAAGCUGCAUCUAUAGAAAGGGAAGAUGUUUCAGAUGAUCUAGAGGAGGGCAACACUCAUUGGCAGCCAAAAAAGACUCAUAGAUGCAAGCAAGCCAAGUUUAUUGAAAGGAAAGAUGUUUCAGAUGAUCUGCAUGAGGAUGAUNGGAGGAUGAUAGUCGUUGGCAGCCAAGGAAGACUCCUAGAGGCAAGCAAGCCAAACUUAUUGAGAGGGAAGAUGCAGUUUCAGAUGAUUUGGUGGAGGAUAAUUCUAAUCAGCAGCACCAGAGGAUUCUUAGAAGCAAGCAGAAGAAACCAGUGACGCUUGGCAAAAUGAAACGAGGGGCUGUUCAGCAUGUGAAACAAGGGACCUUUAGACUAAGAAAGAAAGAGAAUCUCCGGUCAGUCAAACAAGAAAAGCAAAUGAAGCCAGAGACUCCUCGGCUUAGAAAUGCUAAAGGUGAGCAUAAUGCAAGACAGUUCGAAUCACAUGUUGAAGAGGAACUAGAAGGUGGACCAAGUACACGCCUUAGGAAAAGGCCCUCAAAACCUUCAAAAGAGUCAGAAAUAAAGCUUAAAGAGAAGCUGCAAAGCAAUAGGAAGAAAGUUAAGAGUGGCUCAGCGGGUGGGCAGAAGAAUGUGAAAAAUAAGUUUGAGGAUGCAGAAUAUCAAUGUGACAUUGAGGGAUGCACCAUGAGCUUUGGCACAAAACAAGAGCUAGCAAUGCACAAAAAAAAUAUUUGUCCGGUGAAGGGGUGUGGAAAGACGUUUUUCUCACACAAAUAUCUGGUGCAGCACCG
RNAcentral lists this unclassified non-coding RNA (949 nucleotides) under Hevea brasiliensis (rubber tree). The record is from RNAcentral. Lineage: Eukaryota; Viridiplantae; Streptophyta; Magnoliopsida; Malpighiales; Euphorbiaceae.